AGUGAACGCUGGCGGUAGGCCUAACACAUGCAAGUCGGACGGCAGCACAGGAGAGCUUGCUCUCUGGGUGGCGAGUGGCGGACGGGUGAGGAAUACAUCGGAAUCUACUUUUUCGUGGGGGAUAACGUAGGGAAACUUACGCUAAUACCGCAUACGACCUACGGGUGAAAGCAGGGGACCUUCAGGCCUUGCGCGAUUGAAUGAGCCGAUGUCGGAUUAGCUAGUUGGCGGGGUAAAGGCCCACCAAGGCGACGAUCCGUAGCUGGUCUGAGAGGAUGAUCAGCCACACUGGAACUGAGACACGGUCCAGACUCCUACGGGAGGCAGCAGUGGGGAAUAUUGGACAAUGGGCGCAAGCCUGAUCCAGCCAUACCGCGUGGGUGAAGAAGGCCUUCGGGUUGUAAAGCCCUUUUGUUGGGAAAGAAAUCCAGCUGGCUAAUACCCGGUUGGGAUGACGGUACCCAAAGAAUAAGCACCGGCUAACUUCGCGCCAGCCGCCGCCGUAA
This 506-nucleotide ribosomal RNA is filed under the name uncultured bacterium. RNAcentral's name for it is "partial 16S ribosomal RNA". It matches the Rfam family "Bacterial small subunit ribosomal RNA", at positions 29 to 523 of the family's 1533-position model. The record is from RNAcentral.